Molecule: ribosomal RNA, 814 nt
Filed under: Curtobacterium sp. 003.35
Lineage: Bacteria; Bacillati; Actinomycetota; Actinomycetes; Micrococcales; Microbacteriaceae
Description: bacterial SSU rRNA
Rfam family: Bacterial small subunit ribosomal RNA
Source: RNAcentral
UUUGUCGCGUCUGCUGUGAAAUCCCGAGGCUCAACCUCGGGCUUGCAGUGGGUACGGGCAGACUAGAGUGCGGUAGGGGAGAUUGGAAUUCCUGGUGUAGCGGUGGAAUGCGCAGAUAUCAGGAGGAACACCGAUGGCGAAGGCAGAUCUCUGGGCCGUAACUGACGCUGAGGAGCGAAAGCAUGGGGAGCGAACAGGAUUAGAUACCCUGGUAGUCCAUGCCGUAAACGUUGGGCGCUAGAUGUAGGGACCUUUCCACGGUUUCUGUGUCGUAGCUAACGCAUUAAGCGCCCCGCCUGGGGAGUACGGCCGCAAGGCUAAAACUCAAAGGAAUUGACGGGGGCCCGCACAAGCGGCGGAGCAUGCGGAUUAAUUCGAUGCAACGCGAAGAACCUUACCAAGGCUUGACAUACACCGGAAACGGCCAGAGAUGGUCGCCCCCUUGUGGUCGGUGUACAGGUGGUGCAUGGUUGUCGUCAGCUCGUGUCGUGAGAUGUUGGGUUAAGUCCCGCAACGAGCGCAACCCUCGUUCUAUGUUGCCAGCGCGUUAUGGCGGGGACUCAUAGGAGACUGCCGGGGUCAACUCGGAGGAAGGUGGGGAUGACGUCAAAUCAUCAUGCCCCUUAUGUCUUGGGCUUCACGCAUGCUACAAUGGCCGGUACAAAGGGCUGCGAUACCGUAAGGUGGAGCGAAUCCCAAAAAGCCGGUCUCAGUUCGGAUUGAGGUCUGCAACUCGACCUCAUGAAGUCGGAGUCGCUAGUAAUCGCAGAUCAGCAACGCUGCGGUGAAUACGUUCCCGGGCCUUGUACACACC